AUGCAAAAAUCAUACUUAGCUGCCCUUCUACAGCGAUGGGAGGAUGAGAUCCAUGAACAAUUAUGGCGCACAUGGAGCACCAUCAAAGAAACAUCAUGUGUGGUAAGUGGUCUUCGAAAAGGCAUGGAGGUACUCAGUGAGGUAAAAGAAAAGAGAUCAUUCAUCUUGAAGCACCCAGAGGUAUGCACUUAUGAACUCUUGAAGCAUUGGCGCGAUGAAAUUAGAGAAAAGAUGAUUGCUAUGUCAUCCAUCAAACAAUAUCCUUUUGUUAAUCAUAAUGAAAACAUCAAGGAGCCAAUAAAACUAAAAACUGAAUAUGCUUAUUUGACUUUUACUUGGCCAAGAUAUUUUGUAUUGUCCUUGUGCUAUUAUUUUUUAGACCGAAGGAAGUCGAGGGCGACUUUUCUUCAAGAGAGGGAGGAUGAUACAAACAUGGAUGUGCCUGAUUACAAGUUUGUACUCCAUGGAAAUGUUAGCUGGAAAGAAUUGCUGAGUCGAACAAAACAUUUGAAGUUCGAAAAGGUGAAAGCUAAACUUAAGCAUUUGAUAAAAUCUUGGCAUUGUUUCUUUGUACUGGCCAAUUUUCUUUUGUGUGAUGACCAGCUAGAGUCAGGGACGACUCCUUUUCAAGAGAAGGAGGAUGGUGAGGACAUGAAAAACCAUUCAACCCUUAGAGUCGAGGACGACUCCUUUUCAAGAGGGGGAGGAUGA
Molecule: ribosomal RNA, 711 nt
Filed under: Triticum aestivum (bread wheat)
Lineage: Eukaryota; Viridiplantae; Streptophyta; Magnoliopsida; Poales; Poaceae
Description: partial small subunit ribosomal RNA
Source: RNAcentral